RNAcentral lists this ribosomal RNA (468 nucleotides) under uncultured bacterium. RNAcentral describes it as "partial 16S ribosomal RNA". It matches the Rfam family "Bacterial small subunit ribosomal RNA", at positions 28 to 507 of the family's 1533-position model. The record is from RNAcentral.
GACGAACGCUGGCGGCGUGCUUAACACAUGCAAGUCGAACGGAAAGGCCCUGCUUUUGUGGGGUGCUCGAGUGGCGAACGGGUGAGUAACACGUGAGUAACCUGCCCUUGACUUUGGGAUAACUUCAGGAAACUGGGGCUAAUACCGGAUAGGAGCUCCUGCUGCAUGGUGGGGGUUGGAAAGAUUCGGCGGUUGGGGAUGGACUCGCGGCUUAUCAGCUUGUUGGUGGGGUAGUGGCUUACCAAGGCUUUGACGGGUAGCCGGCCUGAGAGGGUGACCGGCCACAUUGGGACUGAGAUACGGCCCAGACUCCUACGGGAGGCAGCAGUGGGGAAUAUUGCACAAUGGGCGGAAGCCUGAUGCAGCAACGCCGCGUGCGGGAUGACGGCCUUCGGGUUGUAAACCGCUUUCGCCUGUGACGAAGCGUGAGUGACGGUAAUGGGUAAGGAAGCACCGGCUAACUACGUG